GGCGGGGCCUCCCAGCGGACGCUCAGCUGGUCCUCAAGCUGCCCAACGCGACUCACCGUCACCCCCGACGGGGGGUCCGUGGUCACUGCAGGAGGAAGAAGACCACCGCGUCCGUUUGCAGGCUUCUUUUGGCUGACCGUCCGCCAUUUCCAGCCCGGGGGGCACGGCCGACGCCCCAAAAGAAAGCGACGGGAGGAGUUCAAAAUCUGCAGAGAAACGUACUUCCGACGUAGAUGCAGGACCCGGC
Syngnathoides biaculeatus (alligator pipefish) is the source of this 247-nucleotide long non-coding RNA. RefSeq lists it as uncharacterized. Lineage: Eukaryota; Metazoa; Chordata; Actinopteri; Syngnathiformes; Syngnathidae. The transcript is spliced from 3 exons. The record is from RefSeq and is a predicted model, not a curated record.